Molecule: ribosomal RNA, 497 nt
Filed under: uncultured bacterium
Lineage: Bacteria
Description: partial 16S ribosomal RNA
Rfam family: Bacterial small subunit ribosomal RNA
Source: RNAcentral
GAUGAACGCUGGCGGCGUGCCUAAUACAUGCAAGUCGAGCGAACAGACGAGGAGCUUGCUCCUCUGACGUUAGCGGCGGACGGGUGAGUAACACGUGGAUAACCUACCUAUAAGACUGGGAUAACUUCGGGAAACCGGAGCUAAUGCCGGAUAAUAUAUUGAACCGCAUGGUUCAAUAGUGAAAGACGGUUUUGCUAUCACUUAUAGAUGGAUCCGCGCCGCAUUAGCUAGUUGGUAAGGUAACGGCUUACCAAGGCAACGAUGCGUAGCCGACCUGAGAGGGUGAUCGGCCACACUGGAACUGAGACACGGUCCAGACUCCUACGGGAGGCAGCAGUAGGGAAUCUUCCGCAAUGGGCGAAAGCCUGACGGAGCAACGCCGCGUGAGUGAUGAAGGUCUUCGGAUCGUAAAACUCUGUUAUUAGGGAAGAACAAAUGUGUAAGUAACUAUGCACGUCUUGACGGUACCUAAUCAGAAAGCCACGGCUAACUACGUG